CAUGCAAGUCGAACGCAUCUUGGGGGGCAACUCCCGAGAUGAGUGGCGAACGGGUGAGUAACACGUGAGUAAUCUUCCCUCGAGUGAGGAAUAACUCCGCGAAAGCGGGGCUAAUACUGCAUAACACUCUGGAGCACAAGCUUUCAGAGUCAAAGCCGCAAGGCGCUUGAGGAUGAGCUUGCGUCCUAUUAGCUAGUUGGUAGGGUAAUGGCCUACCAAGGCGAUGACGGGUAGCUGGUCUGAGAGGACGGACAGCCACACUGGCACUGAGACACGGGCCAGACUCCUACGGGAGGCAGCAGUGAGGAAUAUUGCGCAAUGGGGGAAACCCUGACGCAGCAACGCCGUGUGGGCGAAGAAGGUCUUCGGAUAGUAAAGCCCUUUUCUCCCGGACGAGAAAGGACGG
RNAcentral lists this ribosomal RNA (406 nucleotides) under uncultured bacterium. RNAcentral's name for it is "bacterial SSU rRNA". It matches the Rfam family "Bacterial small subunit ribosomal RNA", at positions 54 to 458 of the family's 1533-position model. The record is from RNAcentral.